Molecule: long non-coding RNA, 208 nt
Organism: Labrus mixtus (cuckoo wrasse)
Lineage: Eukaryota; Metazoa; Chordata; Actinopteri; Labriformes; Labridae
Exons: 2
Source: RefSeq, a predicted model, not a curated record
AGGCACACAGAGCAGUAAAUUAACAACAGUGCAAGUAGACAAAACAUUUUAACCUAAAUAUAAAGUGUCAAUUUAAAUACAACUUAAAGCUUAAACUUAACUUAAAAUACAAAAUAUAAAGGAGUAGAUAUAAGUGGACAGUGAUCGGACUGACAGAUUGACCAGAUGUAAACAGAACUAUGUGCAGUAAACGAGAAAUAAAUAUAUA